GUCGAACGCUGGCGGCGUGCCUAACACAUGCAAGUCGAACGAAGUGGCGAACGGGGGAGUAAUACGUGAGUAACCUGCCAUCCUUUUUGGGAUAAGCCUUGGAAACGGGGUCUAAUACCGAAUAAAGGGGGAUGGGGUCGCGGCCGAUCAGCUUGUGGGUGGGGUGAUGACCUAACAAGGCGGUGAAGGGUAGCCGGCCUGAGAAGGCGGCCUGCCACAAUAGGACUGGUAUACGUCCCAGACAGAUACGGGAGGCGGCAGUUGAGGAUAAUGCGCAAUGGGCGAAAGCCUGAUGCAGCGACGCCGCGUGGGGGAUGAAGGCUUUCGGGUGGUAAACCUCUUUCGCUAUCGUACGGGUAGGUGCAGAAGAAGCGCCGGCUAACUACGUGCCAGCAGCCGCGGUAAUAC
RNAcentral lists this ribosomal RNA (408 nucleotides) under uncultured bacterium. RNAcentral's name for it is "partial 16S ribosomal RNA". It matches the Rfam family "Bacterial small subunit ribosomal RNA", at positions 28 to 526 of the family's 1533-position model. The record is from RNAcentral.